GCCUACGGGGGGCAGCAGUGGGGAAUAUUGCACAAUGGGGGAAACCCUGAUGCAGCGACGCCGCGUGAGCGAUGAAGUAUUUCGGUAUGUAAAGCUCUAUCAGCAGGGAAGAAAAUGACGGUACCUGACUAAGAAGCCCGGCUAACUACGUGCCAGCAGCCGCGGUAAUACGUAGGGGGCAAGCGUUAUCCGGAUUUACUGGGUGUAAAGGGAGCGUAGACGGCGAUGCAAGUCUGAAGUGAAAGGCGGGGGCCCAACCCCCGGACUGCUUUGGAAACUGUAUGGCUGGAGUGCAGGAGCGGUAA
Molecule: ribosomal RNA, 305 nt
Filed under: uncultured bacterium
Lineage: Bacteria
Description: bacterial SSU rRNA
Rfam family: Bacterial small subunit ribosomal RNA
Source: RNAcentral